Molecule: ribosomal RNA, 395 nt
Filed under: uncultured bacterium
Lineage: Bacteria
Description: partial 16S ribosomal RNA
Rfam family: Bacterial small subunit ribosomal RNA
Source: RNAcentral
CUACGUAGGGUGCAAGCGUUAAUCGGAAUUACUGGGCGUAAAGCGUGCGCAGGCGGUUUUGUAAGACAGAGGUGAAAUCCCCGGGCUCAACCUGGGAACUGCCUUUGUGACUGCAAGGCUAGAGUACGGCAGAGGGGGAUGGAAUUCCGCGGGUAGCAGUGAAAUGCGUAGAUAUGCGGAGGAACACCGAUGGCGAAGGCAAUCCCCUGGGCCUGUACUGACGCCCAUGCGCGAAAGCGUGGGGAGCAAACAGGAUUAGAUACCCUGGUAGUCCACGCCCUAAACGAUGUCAUCUGGUUGUUGGGUCUUCAUUGACUCAGUAACGAAGCUAACGCGUGAAGUUGACCGCCUGGGGAGUACGGCCGCAAGGUUGAAACUCAAAUGAAUUGGCGGGG